RNAcentral lists this ribosomal RNA (497 nucleotides) under uncultured bacterium. RNAcentral's name for it is "partial 16S ribosomal RNA". It matches the Rfam family "Bacterial small subunit ribosomal RNA", at positions 28 to 507 of the family's 1533-position model. The record is from RNAcentral.
GACGAACGCUGGCGGCGUGCCUAAUACAUGCAAGUUGAGCGCUGAAGGUUGGUACUUGUACCAACUGGAUGAGCAGCGAACGGGUGAGUAACGCGUGGGGAAUCUGCCUUUGAGCGGGGGACAACAUUUGGAAACGAAUGCUAAUACCGUAUAAAAACUUUAAACACAAGUUUUAAGUUUGAAAGAUGCAAUUGCAUCACUCAAAGAUGAUCCCGCGUUGUAUUAGCUAGUUGGUGAGGUAAAGGCUCACCAAGGCGAUGAUACAUAGCCGACCUGAGAGGGUGAUCGGCCACAUUGGGACUGAGACACGGCCCAAACUCCUACGGGAGGCAGCAGUAGGGAAUCUUCGGCAAUGGACGAAAGUCUGACCGAGCAACGCCGCGUGAGUGAAGAAGGUUGUCGGAUCGUAAAACUCUGUUGGUAGAGAAGAACGUUGGUGAGAGUGGAAAGCUCAUCAAGUGACGGUAACUACCCAGAAAGGGACGGCUAACUACGUG